This 740-nucleotide ribosomal RNA is filed under the name uncultured fungus. Its description in RNAcentral is "partial 18S ribosomal RNA". It matches the Rfam family "Eukaryotic small subunit ribosomal RNA", at positions 831 to 1591 of the family's 1831-position model. Lineage: Eukaryota; Fungi. The record is from RNAcentral.
CGGCCCCUAUUUGUUGGUUCUAGGACAGCGUAAUGAUUAAUAGGGACAGUUGGGGGCAUCCNGUAUUCAGUUGUCAGAGAUGAAAUUCUUGUGAUUNACUNGAAGACGAACUACUGCGAAAGCAUUUGCCAAAGAUGUUUUCAUUAAUCAGGGCAACGAAAGUUAGGGGAUCGAAGACGAUCANAUACCGUCGUANUCUUAACCAUAAACCAUGCCGACUAGGGAUCGGGCGAUGUUAUUGUAUUGACUCGCUCGGCACCUUUCGAGAAAUCAAAGUGUUUGGGUUCUGGGGGGAGUAUGGUCGCAAGGCUGANACUUAAAGAAAUUGACGGAAGGGCACCACCAGGAGUGGANCCUGCGGCUNAAUNUGACUCANCACGGGGAAACUCACCAGGUCCAGAUACACGUAGGAUUGACAGAUUGAGAGCUCUNUCUUGAUNGUGUAGUUGGUGGUGCAUGGCCGUUCUUAGUUGGUGGAGUGAUUUGUCUGCUUAAUCGCGAUAACGAACGAGACCUUCAUCGUUAACUAGCCCGGCUCGCCUUGGCGGGUCGCCGGCUUCUNAACGAGACUUUUGGCUUANGCCAGAGGAAGUUGGAGGCANUAACAGGUCUGUGAUGCCCUUAUAUGUUCUGGGCUGCACGCGCGCUANACUGACAGAGGCAACGAGUUUUGUUCCUUGGCCGGAAGGCCUGGGUAAUCUCNGUNAACUCUGUCGUGCUGGGGAUAGANCAUNGCANUA